UCCUUAAGGUUACAGGUGAAGCUGACUUCCUGCGGUAGCCCCUUGGACCUUAGCCUCUUAAGGGUUGGGUUCUAGUGGCGGGCUCUUGGGUCGUCCGGACCCAUAUCUGGUAAAAGUGGUGGCCUGGUUGUCCCCACACCCCCUUAUCAUGCGUGUCUGUGGGAGCAGUUUGUGCUAGCGUUUUGGCGCUCGCCUUAUGGUUCUCAGUCCUCUUUCGCCGAGAUGCCCUUUAAAAAGAUUUUUUCCCGCAUCGGAACAAGACCCACUAUACUAGAUUUAGCCAAUUCGGGUGCGGAUGGGGAUUCCCCAAUAGAUUCUACAGAUUCGGAUUUGGAUGCCCCUGCGCAUAAACAUAUGGAUAGGGAUGCCGAUUCAGAUGCGGCUAGAAAGGCUCGUUUGAGUGAUUCAUAAACCCUAGUCGGGAUAAACAAGCAAGGGUUUCAUCCUCUACUUAUGGGAAUGCUACUUCGAGAAAUGCUGCUUCAGGAUAAACUAGAUAUGUUGCGAGAGAAACUGGAUAUUUUCCUAUGGCUUGGACCCUUUCACUCGAGAACUCAAAGGGGGGAAAGAAUUCUUCAACAUAGUCACAAGAAGGUGGUCUACGACCAUUAGA
This 613-nucleotide long non-coding RNA is filed under the name Nicotiana benthamiana. RNAcentral's name for it is "long non-coding RNA (NBEN_LNC041973)". Lineage: Eukaryota; Viridiplantae; Streptophyta; Magnoliopsida; Solanales; Solanaceae. The record is from RNAcentral.